RNAcentral lists this ribosomal RNA (253 nucleotides) under uncultured bacterium. RNAcentral's name for it is "partial 16S ribosomal RNA". It matches the Rfam family "Bacterial small subunit ribosomal RNA", at positions 524 to 776 of the family's 1533-position model. The record is from RNAcentral.
UACGGAGGAUCCAAGCGUUAUCCGGAUUUAUUGGGUUUAAAGGGUGCGUAGGCGGCCUGUUAAGUCAGGGGUGAAAGACGGUAGCUUAACUAUCGCAGUGCCCUUGAUACUGAUGGGCUUGAAUAUACUUGAGGUAGGCGGAAUGUGACAAGUAGCGGUGAAAUGCAUAGAUAUGUCACAGAACACCAAUUGCGAAGGCAGCUUACUAAGGUAUGAUUGACGCUGAGGCACGAAAGCGUGGGGAGCAAACAGG